RNAcentral lists this ribosomal RNA (253 nucleotides) under uncultured bacterium. RNAcentral's name for it is "partial 16S ribosomal RNA". It matches the Rfam family "Bacterial small subunit ribosomal RNA", at positions 524 to 776 of the family's 1533-position model. The record is from RNAcentral.
UCCGGAGGGUGCAAUCGUUGUUCGGAUUUACUGGGCGUAAAGGGCGCGUAGGCGGCUUGGUAAGUCGGGUGUGAAAUCCUUCCGCUUAACGGAAGAAGUGCACCCGAAACUGCCUUGCUCGAGUUUAGGAGAGGAGAGCGGAAUUCCCGGUGUAGAGGUGAAAUUCGUAGAUAUCGGGAGGAACACCCGUGGCGAAAGCGGCUCUCUGGCCUAAUACUGACGCUGAGGCGCGAAAGCGUGGGGAGAAAACAGG